Molecule: ribosomal RNA, 924 nt
Filed under: Symphyla sp. NZAC03012853
Lineage: Eukaryota; Metazoa; Arthropoda; Symphyla
Description: eukaryotic LSU rRNA
Rfam family: Eukaryotic large subunit ribosomal RNA (bases 591-924)
Source: RNAcentral
AAUUCAGCCGGGUGACGACGCGCCUGCCCUCGGGNCUCSGCCCAGUYUUCGGUGCGUUUCUUUMCGGKSAYGCGCGCCGGAUCGGACGGAUCCGCCCCGCGCGGCCUGGGAGAAUCACGCCUUUCGGSGGCGUCCCCUAGGUUUGCGACGGACCGGGUCGGGUCUGAUUAAUGCGGCGGUUGCGGCGUCCCGGUGCACUUUCCCCGCGGCCUCCAUUUAAAUACGUACGCCGCCACCGGACGGGUUGCGGAAGGGUCGUCGCGCGGUUUUGCCGGCAGUCGACCGCCCCCCUCACGUCUCUCGGGGCGUGGUGGUUUGGGGAGGUCUAGCCGGUACCGCCCGCCAUCGGCGGGGCCCUCUUACCGCGUCCGUCCGCGUCCACCCCAUCUGUCUGACAUCGGCACGUCUUGGUUACGUGCGCGGCUGGCGUCUCGGGUCUCGUCGGCGGUUUUCUCCUGCUCCGGAACCUUGUGUUCGGGACGGGGCCGUCGGCGGACACGCAUGAGAGACGCGCGGGUCUGCCGUCCUCGAUGUCACGUGUGGGCGGCGAUAGUAGAUCGGCUUCCCUCCCGACCCGUCUUGAAACACGGACCAAGGAGUCUAACCUGUGCGCGAGUCGUGGGGCAAGGUUGCGAAGCCCUUUUCCACGGCGCAGUGAAAGCAAGAGGAACGGUCUCCGUUCCGCAGCCCGCGCGAUCCCGGCCGAACCCGUUAAACGGUGGAGCCGGGCGCASCGCGKACCCGUGCCACUCGCUUCUUGCCGACGGCACGGAGUUGGAGCGUACACGUUGGGACCCGAAAGAUGGUGAUCUAUGCCAGGGCAGGGCGAAGCCAGAGGAAACUCUGGUGGAAGCCCGCCGCGAUUCUGACKUKCAAAUCGAUCGUCGGACCUUGGCAUAGCGGCGAAAGACUAAUCGAACCAUC